AACAUCAUUACAAAUUAAUUUGCUUUCUCAGUAGAUCCACUGACACAUUAGGAGAAAAUUAUCUGUAUCCUGAUUGCAAGGCAACUUAGUUUCUCAUGAUCUUCUCCCAAACAAGAUGAAUUAAUUGAGUGAAUCUCCACUUAAAGAUAAUUGGCAAGUUGAUGCACAUUAUUUUAGUCAGGUGAUAUGUAUUAUGACUAUCAACCCAGGAAAUAUUAACAUAUAAACAUUAACAGGAUAAUUGUUUGUUUGGGGGAGGUUUUCCUGUGCAUUGUUAGGUCUUUAUCAACAUCCCUGGCUUGCACCCAGUAAAUGCCAGUAGCAUUUCCCAUCCCAGCCAUGAAAAUGAAAACUGUGUCCAGAGAUUACAAAUGUCUCUUAAGGGGCAAAAUCCAUCCCUGGUCCCCAGUUAAGGAGCAUUGUUUAGUGGGAGGUCUCUUGAGUCAUCCCUAAUAUCUUUCCUAGAGAAGAAAUUUUCACUAAAUGUAUCUAAAAUUGGCCAAUGAUUCUGUGUGAAAGGACAUCGUGAGAGAACCAAUUGUGAGCCACGCCCAAUUUCUCAUGGAUAGUUAUAAAGUUCUACAUUUAAUUUCAAAUAAUACAUUUCAUAGGUAUAAGUUAAAGGAGACCUAUCUUGGAAAAAAAAUCUGAUGAUUUUAAUUGAUCAUAAAUUCAAUAUAAUCCAAAAACAUAUUAUCAUUUUUUUUUAAAUAAUGCAACCUUGAAUAUCACUAUUACAAUAAAGUUCAAAUCAGGGAAGCUGAUACAUCCAUUGUAAUUUGGCCUUAUAAAUACUGUGGUUACUUCUAUAUCACAUUUUGAGAAGAACAGUGGUUUAAGAGAAGGGAAUUAAGAUUAUGAGAAUUUUAGCAUCCAGAUAAUUUGAGUAAUAAUUAAGGGAAACCAAAAUGUUAAGAAUGAAGAAGAAAAAACCCAGGCAAGGGUAGAGAGAAGUAAUAAUAUUGGAAAGGCUGUUAUGUGGAAAAUGCACAAAGGAAAUUAGAACCAACAAAUGGGAGCUAUAGGAAUCUAGAAAUAAGAAAUCACAACUACCCUGCAAUGAAAUAGACGACCUCACAAAAGAAGCAACCACUUCUUUAGUCAUGGUUAGAUAAUACUUUGGGAUGUAUAAAAAUGCCACCUAUAUUAGCACUAUUAAACUAUCAAAAUAUUAAUUUUGAACAUAUAAUUUUAUGUGAAUCCUACUCUCUUUGUAGCUGCCCAGAACAUCUCCAUGUAAUACUGUUAAGGAGGUAAACUUUACUUUUUUAUCUUCUAGUAAAGUAUAGAAUUCUAACUAUGUAAAGCAUUUAAACACAUUAUAUUUGAAAACUCACAAACUAAAAGUUGCUUUAUCACACUUAUGAUUUUUUUUUAAAGAUUUUAUUUAUUUUGAGAGGAAGGGAGAGUGCACACAUGUGCAUGAGUGAGGAGAGGGGCAGAGGGGGAGAGAAUCUCAAGCAGUCUCCACACCCAGAGGGGAACCCGAUGCAGGGCUUGCUCUCAGGACUCUGAGAUCAUGCCCUGAGCUGAAAUCCAGAGUUGGGUGCUUCACCAACUGAGCCACCCAUGUGCACCUCAUUAUUUUACUUAUCUGAAUAAGCUUGAUAUGGUGGAAUGAUUUUCAAACCAGACUUCAGGUUCCAAACAUCUUGCUCUAAAUUCUGUGCUUAUGACAGAUCAUUACUAGUUUCUAUAACUGUAAAAACUCAUUGUUGUAAGCAGUAAAUAUCAGAAGUAUUCAACAAAACUUAUUUGUGCAUUUAUUUAUGUAUUUAAAAGACCCCAUUUAUUUAUUGCUAUUUUUACUGAAGGAUCAAUAAUGUGGCUCCAUAUUCUGUUUCUUCAGGUAGUUUUUUUUGCACUCUUAAAUGAGGUUGAAAAAAAAAAUUAAAAAAAAAAUAAAUGAGGUUGGUACAUUAGAAACCAUCACCAUUUCUUUCACAGAACUGGAAUUCAGGUAAGGAACAUUGGAUGCUACCACUUGAAUACCCAUGUUCCUUACCCAGAAUUGCUGUCUUGUUUGGGAGAACAGCACUCAGUAAUUGGUCUAGAAUCACUCA
This 2063-nucleotide long non-coding RNA is filed under the name Canis lupus familiaris (dog). RNAcentral's name for it is "lncRNA (ENSCAFG00845006617.1)". The record is from RNAcentral. Lineage: Eukaryota; Metazoa; Chordata; Mammalia; Carnivora; Canidae.